Molecule: non-coding RNA, 139 nt
Organism: Gossypium hirsutum (cotton)
Lineage: Eukaryota; Viridiplantae; Streptophyta; Magnoliopsida; Malvales; Malvaceae
Source: Rfam
UGUUAAAAAUUUCAUUCAUUUUUUUAUUAAAAACUAAGACGACUGACAAAACAACUCGAACACUACAUGUGGUAUGUGUACCUCAUUCUAGUGUAUAAUGACCAAUUUUUAACAAUAAAAAUGGACGAAAUUUUUAAUA